This 69-nucleotide transfer RNA is filed under the name Metarhizium anisopliae. RNAcentral describes it as "tRNA-His". Lineage: Eukaryota; Fungi; Ascomycota; Sordariomycetes; Hypocreales; Clavicipitaceae. The record is from RNAcentral.
CCAUUGAUAUUUCAGAUCUUAAAUUUAGGUUUGUGGUACCUUCUAAUUUCAAAAUUACGAAGUAAUAGA